This 75-nucleotide transfer RNA is filed under the name Pantoea sp. B_2. RNAcentral's name for it is "tRNA-OTHER". It matches the Rfam family "tRNA". Rfam says of the family: Transfer RNA (tRNA) molecules are approximately 80 nucleotides in length. Their secondary structure includes four short double-helical elements and three loops (D, anti-codon, and T loops). Lineage: Bacteria; Pseudomonadati; Pseudomonadota; Gammaproteobacteria; Enterobacterales; Erwiniaceae. The record is from RNAcentral. RNAcentral also lists the same sequence under 32 other names.
CCGCCGUUAGCUUACUGGACAGAGCACUGGCUUUUUGAUGCAGGGGACGGGGUUAAAAUCCCUGACGGCGGUCCA